This 253-nucleotide ribosomal RNA is filed under the name uncultured bacterium. Its description in RNAcentral is "partial 16S ribosomal RNA". It matches the Rfam family "Bacterial small subunit ribosomal RNA", at positions 524 to 776 of the family's 1533-position model. The record is from RNAcentral.
UACGUAGGGGGCGAGCGUUGUCCGGAUUUAUUGGGCGUAAAGAGCGUGUAGGCGGUUCGGUAAGUCUGUCGUGAAAUCCUGAGGCUCAACCUCGGGCGUGCGAUGGAUACUGCCGGGCUAGAGGGUGGUAGAGGCGAGUGGAAUUCCCGGUGUAGCGGUGAAAUGCGUAGAUAUCUGGAGGAAUACCGGUGGCGAAGGCGGCAUCCUGGACCGACAUUGACGCUGAGGCGCGAAAGCUAGGGGAGCAAACGGG